Molecule: long non-coding RNA, 330 nt
Filed under: Naja naja (Indian cobra)
Lineage: Eukaryota; Metazoa; Chordata; Lepidosauria; Squamata; Elapidae
Description: lncRNA (ENSNNAG00000016363.1)
Source: RNAcentral
CCUUUACCGAAAGCCAUUUCUUUUAAAAUACCCUGCAUUUAGUCUUCAAGAAUCUUCAAGCAAGUGUCUGAAGAAGCGGGUUUAUCCUGCCCUGUGGCUGCUUUCAUCUGUUGCUUCUGCUUGAGUUUUUCUGACUUAUCAUUCGAUUGUUUGGGCUUUCCUGUACUUGUGGAACACACCAGCAUUUUCUUAGUUGGGCUUUGGACUGUGAGGAUGCAUGCAAAAAAGCUGAGAUAAUCAUGGCUUUCCUUGCUUUGGCAGUUCAACGCUGGAGCCUCAAUUUCCAGAAGACUUUUUCAUUUUAUGUGAGAAGCAGAAUCUAGAGAUGGC